Molecule: long non-coding RNA, 412 nt
Filed under: Brassica napus (rape)
Lineage: Eukaryota; Viridiplantae; Streptophyta; Magnoliopsida; Brassicales; Brassicaceae
Description: long non-coding RNA (BNAP_LNC025764)
Source: RNAcentral
GGAGGAGAGACCGGAGGCUUAACCGGGGCUUUGGUCGGGGGCUUAACAGGGGCUUUGGUCGGAGGGUAAACCGGGGGCUUAACCGGAGGUUUGGCCGGUGGUGAAACUGGUGGCUUUACUGGAGGUUUGGCCGGUGGUGAAACUGGUGGCUUAACCGGAGGUUUGACUGGGGGCUUAACUGGAGCUUUGGUCGGAGGGUAAACUGGAGGUUUAACAGGAGGUUUUGCUGGUGGGGAAACUGGUGGCUUAACCGGAGGUUUGACUGGGGGCUUAACCGGAGCUUUGGUCGGAGGGUAAACCGGAGGUUUAACAGGAGGUUUUGCUGGUGGGGAAACUGGUGCCUUAACCGGAGGUUUAGUUGGGGGCUUAACCGGGGAUUUGGUUGGAGGGUAAACUGGAGUCUUAACCGGAG